RNAcentral lists this ribosomal RNA (203 nucleotides) under uncultured bacterium. RNAcentral describes it as "partial 16S ribosomal RNA". It matches the Rfam family "Bacterial small subunit ribosomal RNA", at positions 1297 to 1500 of the family's 1533-position model. The record is from RNAcentral.
ACUGCAGGCUGCAACUCGCCUGCACGAAGUCGGAAUUGCUAGUAAUCGUAGGUCAGCAUACUACGGUGAAUACGUUCCCGGGCCUUGUACACACCGCCCGUCAAACCAUGAGAGUUGGCAACACCGAAGUCGGUAGUCUAACCGCAAGGAGGACGCCGCCGAAGGUGGGGUUGAUGAUUAGGGUUAAGUCGUAACAAGGUAGC